Long non-coding RNA from Alexandromys fortis (reed vole), 335 nucleotides. RefSeq lists it as uncharacterized. NCBI's taxonomy places the organism in Eukaryota, Metazoa, Chordata, Mammalia, Rodentia, Cricetidae. The record is from RefSeq and is a predicted model, not a curated record. The transcript is spliced from 2 exons.
CUGGUUUUGAUGUGGCUCCCUGUAACAUCCAAAGUGAAGUUCUUGUGCCCGGAAUGGAACAGGCUCCCGAGCCCAAGGCUCCACCAACCUCACUGACUUCAUUCUUGUUUUGCUUCUUCUAACCAUCAGGUCAAGAUCUGGGGUUUCUCUGUGUAGCCCCGAAUGUCCUGGAACUCGCUUUGUAGACCAGCAGCUCACAACCACCUGUAACUCCAGAUUCAGGGGAUCCGUUGACCUCUUCUGGACUCCUUGUUUACCAGGCAUGCUUGUAGUGCACAAACAUGAAGGCAAAACACCCCUAUAUAUACAACAAAAUAAAUAAAUAUUUAAAAUAA